AUGGAAAUGGAGGCUAAACAAGUUGUAUGGACAGCUCCGAUGACUUCCUUCAUGCUUGAACACCUAUGCAAGGUUGUGGGUGAUGGAGUUAGAACAUCAACUGGCUUCAAGAAGUGCCAAUUAGCUCGUUGUGCGACUGCUAUGAAUGAGCAUUUUCAGCUCAAUUCGACUCAUGCCAACAUUGGUAAUCACAAUAGGACAUGGAGGAGGAAAUGGGGAACAAUACUCAGACUUAGGGGGUUGAGUGGUGCAUUAUGGGAUGAUGAGCAGUCUAUGAUCGUUCUUGACCAUGAGCACUACACUAACCAUAUUAAGGUUUUUUUUUUGGAAAAGGGGGUUUACCCCGGCCUCUGCAUCAGAACUAACCAUAUUAAGGACCACAAAUAG
RNAcentral lists this ribosomal RNA (387 nucleotides) under Triticum aestivum (bread wheat). RNAcentral describes it as "partial small subunit ribosomal RNA". Lineage: Eukaryota; Viridiplantae; Streptophyta; Magnoliopsida; Poales; Poaceae. The record is from RNAcentral.